This 456-nucleotide ribosomal RNA is filed under the name uncultured bacterium. RNAcentral's name for it is "bacterial SSU rRNA". It matches the Rfam family "Bacterial small subunit ribosomal RNA", at positions 923 to 1379 of the family's 1533-position model. The record is from RNAcentral.
GCACAAGCGGUGGAGCAUGUGGUUUAAUUCGACGCAACGCGAAGAACCUUACCUGGGCUCGAAAUGUAGUGGACUGGGGUAGAAAUAUCCCUUCCUAGCAAUAGGCUGCUAUAUAGGUGCUGCAUGGCUGUCGUCAGCUCGUGUCGUGAGAUGUUGGGUUAAGUCCCGCAACGAGCGCAACCCUUAUUACCAGUUGCCAUCAUUCAGUUGGGCACUCUGGUGAGACCGCCUCGGAUAACGGGGAGGAAGGCGGGGAUGACGUCAAGUCCUCAUGGCCUUUAUGUCCAGGGCUACACACGUGCUACAAUGGCCGGUACAAACCGUCGCAAACCCGUGAGGGGGAGCUAAUCGGAAAAAGCCGGCCUCAGUUCGGAUUGGAGUCUGCAACUCGACUCCAUGAAGCUGGAAUCGCUAGUAAUCGCAGAUCAGAACGCUGCGGUGAAUACGUUCCCGGGC